UAAUACAGAGGGUGCGAGCGUUGUCCGGAAUCACUGGGCGUAAAGGGCGCGUAGGUGGCCCGGCAAGUCGAUGGUGAAAGCUCGUCGCUCAACGACGAGUCGGCCAUUGAUACUGCGGGGCUGGAGCACUGUAGAGGCUCAUGGAAUUCCGGGUGUAGCGGUGGAAUGCGUAGAGAUCCGGAAGAACACCGGUGGCGAAGGCGGUGAGCUGGGCAGUAGCUGACACUGAGGCGCGACAGCGUGGGGAGCAAACAGGAUUAGAUACCCUGGUAGUCCACGCCGUAAACGAUGGGCACUAGAUGCUUGGGGGAGCGACCCCCUGAGUGUCGCCGCUAACGCAUUAAGUGCCCCGCCUGGGGAGUACGGCCGCAAGGCUG
RNAcentral lists this ribosomal RNA (377 nucleotides) under uncultured bacterium. Its description in RNAcentral is "bacterial SSU rRNA". It matches the Rfam family "Bacterial small subunit ribosomal RNA", at positions 521 to 896 of the family's 1533-position model. The record is from RNAcentral.